This 234-nucleotide unclassified non-coding RNA is filed under the name Hevea brasiliensis (rubber tree). The record is from RNAcentral. Lineage: Eukaryota; Viridiplantae; Streptophyta; Magnoliopsida; Malpighiales; Euphorbiaceae.
GCCGGCGGAAGAUCGGCAGGUCCUUCAUUCACAUGCGGUAUUUCGUGCUUGAAUCUCGGUUGCUUGCGUAUUAUAAGAAGAAGCCCCAGGAUAAUCAAGUUCCAAUUAAGACCAUGCUAAUAGAUGGAAACUGUAGAGUGGAGGAUCGUGGCUUGAAGACGCACCAUGGACAUAUGGUUUACGUCUUGUCUGUUUACAACAAGAAAGAGAAGUACCAUCGAAUUACGAUGGCGG